This 110-nucleotide non-coding RNA is filed under the name Cavia aperea (Brazilian guinea pig). Lineage: Eukaryota; Metazoa; Chordata; Mammalia; Rodentia; Caviidae. The record is from RNAcentral.
GGUCUCUUCCCUCCUCAGUCAGAGUGGAAGGCCCUGAGGAGAUCAAGCCCAGAGGAACAUUAUCAGGGUUGCUGUGAAAGGGCAGCAGUAUUUUCCUGCCUCGGACCUGU